Long non-coding RNA from Daphnia carinata, 466 nucleotides. RefSeq lists it as uncharacterized. The record is from RefSeq and is a predicted model, not a curated record. NCBI's taxonomy places the organism in Eukaryota, Metazoa, Arthropoda, Branchiopoda, Diplostraca, Daphniidae. The transcript has 4 exons.
UUGGCAGGUAGCAGUUGGAACUUUGUUUUUUUGUUUCUUUAAUUAAAUAACUACCUAUUGUCGGAUUCGGAUUUACCGCCAAUUAGUAUUCACUAUUUCUUUUGGUGUGUGCUAAGCAGUGUAAGACAAGGAACUUAAAGGAAAGAAGAUGGAACGCUGGUAUAAGAAAUGCCAAAGAGCCCUCGUGCAAUGCCAAGUUUCAAGAAUUAAUGUGCUAGACCACAUUGCUCUACUGUAAAAUGGCCGGUUACUGCUUUGAUUGCCCAUGCCCGUAUUUCUCUACUAAAACACUUAUAUGAAUGGUCGUAGUGAAUUUGAAAAGGAUUCUUAUUGCAGACAUCCAUCCCAGAUGUAAGAAAGGUUAGCAGCAGAGGUAUUAAUUUUCAUGAAUCGUCAUCACAUUCCACGUUGAGGUGGGUGUGUGUUUCUUAUUAAAUUUAUGUUGACUUGAGGAUGAGUGAAAUGA